This 461-nucleotide ribosomal RNA is filed under the name uncultured Actinomyces sp. Its description in RNAcentral is "bacterial SSU rRNA". It matches the Rfam family "Bacterial small subunit ribosomal RNA", at positions 338 to 795 of the family's 1533-position model. Lineage: Bacteria; Bacillati; Actinomycetota; Actinomycetes; Actinomycetales; Actinomycetaceae. The record is from RNAcentral.
CCUACGGGCGGCAGCAGUGGGGGAUUUUGCACAAUGGGCGCAAGCCUGAUGCAGCGACGCCGCGUGAGGGAUGGAGGCCUUCGGGUUGUGAACCUCUGUCGCCGGUGAUGUAGGCUCUGCUUUGUGGGUGGGGUUGACGGUAGCCGGGGUAUGAAGUGCCGGCUAACUACGUGCCAGCAGCCGCGGUAAUACGUAGGGCGCGAGCGUUGUCCGGAAUUAUUGGGCGUAAAGAGCUCGUAGGCGGCUGGUCGCGUCUGUCGUGAAAUCCUCUGGCUUAACUGGGGGCGUGCGGUGGGUACGGGCCGGCUUGAGUGCGGUAGGGGAGGCUGGAAUUCCUGGUGUAGCGGUGGAAUGCGCAGAUAUCAGGAGGAACACCGGUGGCGAAGGCGGGUCUCUGGGCCGUUACUGACGCUGAGGAGCGAAAGCGUGGGGAGCGAACAGGAUUAGAUACCCCUGUAGUC